RNAcentral lists this ribosomal RNA (303 nucleotides) under Triticum aestivum (bread wheat). RNAcentral describes it as "partial small subunit ribosomal RNA". The record is from RNAcentral. Lineage: Eukaryota; Viridiplantae; Streptophyta; Magnoliopsida; Poales; Poaceae.
AUGUUAGCAUUUGGUAUUGUAGCACUCUCUUUAGAUAGCAACAAUACAAUGGUCACUUCCUGUGUUAAUAAGCAAAUGAAAAAGAAACCAAUAUUUGUAUUUCAGUUGAGUGACACAUAUUUAUCGGGAAAAAAGCUGAGUGAUACAUACUCCCUCCGUAAAGAAAUAUAUGAGCGUUUAGAUCACCAAAGUAGUGAUCUAAAUACUCUUAUAUUUCUUUAUAGAGGGAGUACUUUACAGGAGUUGUGCUCUUACAGCAAUACCAUGUUAGCAUUAGGUAUUGUAGCCUCCGUCCCAAAAUAA